AAAUUGAAGAGUUUGAUCAUGGCUCAGAUUGAACGCUGGCGGCAGGCCUAACACAUGCAAGUCGAACGGUAACAGGAAGCAGCUUGCUGCUUUGCUGACGAGUGGCGGACGGGUGAGUAAUGUCUGGGAAACUGCCUGAUGGAGGGGGAUAACUACUGGAAACGGUGGCUAAUACCGCAUAACGUCGCAAGACCAAAGAGGGGGACCUUCGGGCCUCUUGCCAUCAGAUGUGCCCAGAUGGGAUUAGCUGGUUGGUGAGGUAACGGCUCACCAAGGCGACGAUCCCUAGCUGGUCUGAGAGGAUGACCAGCCACACUGGAACUGAGACACGGUCCAGACUCCUACGGGAGGCAGCAGUGGGGAAUAUUGCACAAUGGGCGCAAGCCUGAUGCAGCCAUGCCGCGUGUAUGAAGAAGGCCUUCGGGUUGUAAAGUACUUUCAGCGGGGAGGAAGGUGUUGUGGUUAAUAACCGCAGCAAUUGACGUUACCCGCAGAAGAAGCACCGGCUAACUCCGUGCCAGCAGCCGCGGUAAUACGGAGGGUGCAAGCGUUAAUCGGAAUUACUGGGCGUAAAGCGCACGCAGGCGGUCUGUCAAGUCGGAUGUGAAAUCCCCGGGCUCAACCUGGGAACUGCAUUCGAAACUGGCAGGCUUGAGUCUUGUAGAGGGGGGUAGAAUUCCAGGUGUAGCGGUGAAAUGCGUAGAGAUCUGGAGGAAUACCGGUGGCGAAGGCGGCCCCCUGGACAAAGACUGACGCUCAGGUGCGAAAGCGUGGGGAGCAAACAGGAUUAGAUACCCUGGUAGUCCACGCCGUAAACGAUGUCUACUUGGAGGUUGUGCCCUUGAGGCGUGGCUUCCGGAGCUAACGCGUUAAGUAGACCGCCUGGGGAGUACGGCCGCAAGGUUAAAACUCAAAUGAAUUGACGGGGGCCCGCACAAGCGGUGGAGCAUGUGGUUUAAUUCGAUGCAACGCGAAGAACCUUACCUGGUCUUGACAUCCACAGAACUUUCCAGAGAUGGACUGGUGCCUUCGGGAACUGUGAGACAGGUGCUGCAUGGCUGUCGUCAGCUCGUGUUGUGAAAUGUUGGGUUAAGUCCCGCAACGAGCGCAACCCUUAUCCUUUGUUGCCAGCGGUUAGGCCGGGAACUCAAAGGAGACUGCCAGUGAUAAACUGGAGGAAGGUGGGGAUGACGUCAAGUCAUCAUGGCCCUUACGACCAGGGCUACACACGUGCUACAAUGGCGCAUACAAAGAGAAGCGACCUCGCGAGAGCAAGCGGACCUCAUAAAGUGCGUCGUAGUCCGGAUUGGAGUCUGCAACUCGACUCCAUGAAGUCGGAAUCGCUAGUAAUCGUGGAUCAGAAUGCCACGGUGAAUACGUUCCCGGGCCUUGUACACACCGCCCGUCACACCAUGGGAGUGGGUUGCAAAAGAAGUAGGUAGCUUAACCUUCGGGAGGGCGCUUACCACUUUGUGAUUCAUGACUGGGGUGAAGUCGUAACAAGGUAACCGUAGGGGAACCUGCGGUUGGAUCACCUCCUUACCUUAAAGAA
RNAcentral lists this ribosomal RNA (1552 nucleotides) under Salmonella enterica subsp. enterica serovar Senftenberg. RNAcentral's name for it is "bacterial SSU rRNA". It matches the Rfam family "Bacterial small subunit ribosomal RNA". Lineage: Bacteria; Pseudomonadati; Pseudomonadota; Gammaproteobacteria; Enterobacterales; Enterobacteriaceae. The record is from RNAcentral.